UAGGGAAUAUUGGACAAUGGGGGCAACCCUGAUCCAGCCAUGCCGCGUGAGUGAAGAAGGCCCUCGGGUUGUAAAGCUCUUUUGUCCGGAAAGAAAAGCUUCGGGUUAAUACCCCGGGGUUCUGACGGUACCGGAAGAAUAAGCACCGGCUAACUUCGUGCCAGCAGCCGCGGUAAUACGAAGGGUGCAAGCGUUACUCGGAAUUACUGGGCGUAAAGCGUGCGCAGGUGGUUGUUUAAGUCUGAUGUGAAAGCCCUGGGCUCAACCUGGGAAUGGGAGUUGAAACUGGGCAGCUAGAGUGCGGUAGAGGGUAGUGGAAUUGCCGGUGUAGCAGUGAAAUGCGUAGAGAGCGGGAGGAACAUCUAUGGCGAAGGCGACUGCCUGGACCAGCACUGACACUGAGGCACGAAAGCGUGGGGAGCAAACA
Molecule: ribosomal RNA, 427 nt
Filed under: uncultured bacterium
Lineage: Bacteria
Description: bacterial SSU rRNA
Rfam family: Bacterial small subunit ribosomal RNA
Source: RNAcentral